GCUGAAGCAACAAAUGCCCUGCUUCCAGGAAAAGCCUCUAAGCAUCAGGUAACAUCAAAUCGUACCCCAAACCGACACAGGUGGUCAGGUAGAGAAUACCAAGGCGCUUGAGAGAACUCGGGUGAAGGAACUAGGCAAAAUGGUGCCGUAACUUCGGGAGAAGGCACGCUGAUAUGUAGGUGAAGUCCCUCGCGGAUGGAGCUGAAAUCAGUCGAAGAUACCAGCUGGCUGCAACUGUUUAUUAAAAACACAGCACUGUGCAAACACGAAAGUGGACGUAUACGGUGUGACGCCUGCCCGGUGCCGGAAGGUUAAUUGAUGGGGUUAGCGCAAGCGAAGCUCUUGAUCGAAGCCCCGGUAAACGGCGGCCGUAACUAUAACGGUCCUAAGGUAGCGAAAUUCCUUGUCGGGUAAGUUCCGACCUGCACGAAUGGCGUAAUGAUGGCCAGGCUGUCUCCACCCGAGACUCAGUGAAAUUGAACUCGCUGUGAAGAUGCAGUGUACCCGCGGCAAGACGGAAAGACCCCGUGAACCUUUACUAUAGCUUGACACUGAACAUUGAGCCUUGAUGUGUAGGAUAGGUGGGAGGCUUUGAAGUGUGGACGCCAGUCUGCAUGGAGCCGACCUUGAAAUACCACCCUUUAAUGUUUGAUGUUCUAACGUUGACCCGUAAUCCGGGUUGCGGACAGUGUCUGGUGGGUAGUUUGACUGGGGCGGUCUCCUCCUAAAGAGUAACGGAGGAGCACGAAGGUUGGCUAAUCCUGGUCGGACAUCAGGAGGUUAGUGCAAUGGCAUAAGCCAGCUUGACUGCGAGCGUGACGGCGCGAGCAGGUGCGAAAGCAGGUCAUAGUGAUCCGGUGGUUCUGAAUGGAAGGGCCAUCGCUCAACGGAUAAAAGGUACUCCGGGGAUAACAGGCUGAUACCGCCCAAGAGUUCAUAUCGACGGCGGUGUUUGGCACCUCGAUGUCGGCUCAUCACAUCCUGGGGCUGAAGUAGGUCCCAAGGGUAUGGCUGUUCGCCAUUUAAAGUGGUACGCGAGCUGGGUUUAGAACGUCGUGAGACAGUUCGGUCCCUAUCUGCCGUGGGCGCUGGAGAACUGAGGGGGGCUGCUCCUAGUACGAGAGGACCGGAGUGGACGCAUCACUGGUGUUCGGGUUGUCAUGCCAAUGGCACUGCCCGGUAGCUAAAUGCGGAAGAGAUAAGUGCUGAAAGCAUCUAAGCACGAAACUUGCC
Molecule: ribosomal RNA, 1233 nt
Filed under: Escherichia coli
Lineage: Bacteria; Pseudomonadati; Pseudomonadota; Gammaproteobacteria; Enterobacterales; Enterobacteriaceae
Description: partial 23S ribosomal RNA
Rfam family: Bacterial large subunit ribosomal RNA
Source: RNAcentral